This 467-nucleotide ribosomal RNA is filed under the name uncultured bacterium. Its description in RNAcentral is "partial 16S ribosomal RNA". It matches the Rfam family "Bacterial small subunit ribosomal RNA", at positions 29 to 507 of the family's 1533-position model. The record is from RNAcentral.
ACGCACGCUGGCGGCGUGCUUCACCCAUGCCAGUCGAACGGAAAGGCCCUGCUUUUGUGGGGUGCUCGAGUGGCGAACGGGUGAGUAACACGUGAGUAACCUGCCCUUGACUUUGGGAUAACUUCAGGAAACUGGGGCUAAUACCGGAUAGGAGCUCCUGCUGCAUGGUGGGGGUUGGAAAGUUUCGGCGGUUGGGGAUGGACUCGCGGCUUAUCAGCUUGUUGGUGGGGUAGUGGCUUACCAAGGCUUUGACGGGUAGCCGGCCUGAGAGGGUGACCGGCCACAUUGGGACUGAGAUACGGCCCAGACUCCUACGGGAGGCAGCAGUGGGGAAUAUUGCACAAUGGGCGGAAGCCUGAUGCAGCAACGCCGCGUGCGGGAUGACGGCCUUCGGGUUGUAAACCGCUUUCGCCUGUGACGAAGCGUGAGUGACGGUAAUGGGUAAAGAAGCACCGGCUAACUACGUG